Molecule: long non-coding RNA, 1232 nt
Organism: Carassius gibelio (silver crucian carp)
Lineage: Eukaryota; Metazoa; Chordata; Actinopteri; Cypriniformes; Cyprinidae
Exons: 3
Source: RefSeq, a predicted model, not a curated record
AAAACGCUGUCAUUGCUUUGAUCGCGUGCAGUCCUUUGUUGCAAUGAAUGACAGAUCUUUCUUCCCAGUUCUCGAGCACCGGCAUUCCUCUCGCUCCAUUCGUCCUGUCCGUUUUGCGUGAUAAAUGCCUUGCUUUCAUUAAUUGUUGCUUAUUAAGAGCAGCAUGGCAUCUUUUAUUUUUAUGUCUUGAUUUUUAGUCGAUGUUGAUUUUAUGGUUAUGCAUUUACACACUGAAGGGCGUGGCAUGACAGAACUACAGACAAAGCCAUAAAACAAAGAUCUACAGUAUAUGAAGAUGGAGCUCCAGUUGCAUGAACAAAGACAUGGAUUCCAAUCCCAAUAUAUUUCUGUCUACAGAUGCACAAAACCCAGCCCAGCGCUAGGCCUCAUCCUGAGCUAAAUUCUGGCUUUGGGAAUCCACAUUUCGCUUUGUCUCAUUGACAUACUACAAAGUAGCCGAAUCCAUUGGAUUUGCUUGAGAGCCUCUGACUUGGUUUGUGAUGAAUGUUUUUUUUUUUUUAUCUCUGAAUACAAUCAUACACAUUACUGUGAUAUUUAAAUAAUAAUAAGGGAGAGAAAAAUAGAAGCACACACAUUUGAACCCGUGAAAUGUCAUCUGAAUCCCACAGGUUAUUAGUAUAAUAAUGUGCUCUGACAGGAGAGCUCGUACAUUAUAUUGCUAGUCUCAGCAAUGUUUCGGUCCAAUUAGGUUGAUGUUUAGAAUGCACAUCUUAAAUCACAACUGCCCUCAGCAAAAACUGAAGAUAAAUGUUUGUACCUAAGAGGAUAACCAUGUACACUGACAAAUAGCAUAAGCUAAUAUGAACUGGUUGUGGACUUUUUUUCAGAGCAGCAUGGACAAAGGUUGGCUUAAAUGUGAUUUUGUGAAAUGAUUAGGUUUGUGAGAAUAUUGUGUGUCUAUAAUGGCUAAUGGCUGUUUUUUUUUUCCCAGUCAUGUGUACGUCAUCUCAUUGAGCAGUGAAAAGAAUUAUAUGUGAUGGAAAAGUUACCGGUCAUUAUCGCAAAAUUAACUGGCUGAUUAGGAUGCUGAUGUAGAGUGACUACUUAAAUAAACAAACUGACAUGAAAAACAUACAUACACUACCCUUCAAAAGUUUGGGAAAAAAAAUUUUCAGAAUUUUUUAAAGAAAAAUCUCACCACGGCUGCAUUAUUUUAUUUAAAAAUACAGUAAAAACAGUAAUAUUUCGAAAUAUUAUUACAAUUUAACACA